GUCUUUUUGAAUUUAAUAUAAAGUCUGAUCUGCCCCCUGAUUUUUUAAAUGGCCGCAGUAUAUUAACUGUGCAAAGGUAGCAUAAUCAUUAGUUUUUUAAUUGGAGACUUGUAUGAAUGAUUGGACGAGAUAUAAACUGUUUCAAGAAAAUAAAUAGAAUUUUAUUUUUUAGUUAAAAAGCUAAAAUUUUAUUAAAAGACGAGAAGACCCUAUAGAUCUUUAUAAUAAAAAAAUUAUUAGUUUAUAGGAUUUAUUUUGCAAUAUUUUUAUUAUUAUUUUAUUGGGGUGAUAUUGAAAUUUAACAAACUUUUGAUUAAAAGUUAUUCCAUUAAUUUAUGAAUAAAUGAUCCAUUUUUAGUGAUUAAAAAUUUAAGUUACCUUAGGGAUAACAGCGUAAUUAUUUUGGAGAGUUCUUAUCGAUAAAAUAGUUUGCGACCUCGAUGUUGGAUUAAGAUUAAUUCUAGGCGUAGCUGUUUAGUAUAUUAAGUCUGUUCGACUUUUAAUUUCUU
RNAcentral lists this ribosomal RNA (509 nucleotides) under Medetera jacula. RNAcentral's name for it is "partial 16S ribosomal RNA". It matches the Rfam family "Bacterial large subunit ribosomal RNA", at positions 1819 to 2597 of the family's 2925-position model. Lineage: Eukaryota; Metazoa; Arthropoda; Insecta; Diptera; Dolichopodidae. The record is from RNAcentral.